UCUGGUGAUCAUAGAGACGUGGCCCCACCCGGUCCCAUCCCGAACCCGGAAGUGAAACGCGUCAUCGCCGAUGAUAGUGCAACGAUAGGUUGCGCGAAAGUAGGUCGUUGCCAGAA
RNAcentral lists this ribosomal RNA (116 nucleotides) under Verrucomicrobiia bacterium. The record is from RNAcentral. RNAcentral also lists the same sequence under 1 other name. Lineage: Bacteria; Pseudomonadati; Verrucomicrobiota; Verrucomicrobiia.